CCUACGGGCGGCUGCAGUAGGGAAUAUUGCUCAAUGGGGGAAACCCUGAAGCAGCAACGCCGCGUGGAGGAUGAAGGUUUUCGGAUUGUUAACUCCUUUUGUUAGAGAAGAUAAUGACGGUAUCUAACGAAUAAGCACCGGCUAACUCCGUGCCAGCAGCCGCCGUAAUACGGAGGGUGCAAGCGUUACUCGGAAUCACUGGGCGUAAAGAGCGCGUAGGCGGGAUAGCAAGUCAGAUGUGAAAUCCUAUGGCUUAACCAUAGAACUGCAUUUGAAACUGGUAUUCUAGAGUAUGCGAGAGGUAGGUGGAAUGCUUGGUGUAGGGGUAAAAUCCAUAGAGAUCAAGAAGAAUACUCAUUGCGAAGGCGACCUGCUAGAACAUAACUGACGCUGAGGCGCGAAAGCGUGGGUAGCAAACAGGAUUAGAUACCCCGGUAGUC
RNAcentral lists this ribosomal RNA (440 nucleotides) under uncultured bacterium. RNAcentral describes it as "partial 16S ribosomal RNA". It matches the Rfam family "Bacterial small subunit ribosomal RNA", at positions 338 to 795 of the family's 1533-position model. The record is from RNAcentral.